CUGGCACCUUCAAUACCUUCCCAGUUUCCACCUGCACAGCGAUGCUUUUCUGGCACAGCCAACCAGGUACAUCCAUCCCGAAGGGCUGCCCUCUGACUACACCAUCACCCUGCUGUUCAGACUGCUGCCAGACACUCCAGAGGAGCCCUUCGCCCUCUGGGAGAUCCUCAACAAGAACAACGAGCCGCUGGUGGGAGUCAUCCUCGACAACGGCGGAAAGACUCUGACGUUCUUCAACAACGACUACAAAGGAGAGUUCCAGACGGUCACCUUCGAAGGGCCAGAAAUCAAAAAACUCUUCUACGGCA
This is a long non-coding RNA of Micropterus salmoides (largemouth bass), 308 nucleotides long. RefSeq lists it as uncharacterized. Lineage: Eukaryota; Metazoa; Chordata; Actinopteri; Centrarchiformes; Centrarchidae. The transcript is spliced from 3 exons. The record is from RefSeq and is a predicted model, not a curated record.